UCGGGAAUUUUGGGCAAUGGGGGAAACCCUGACCCAGCAACGCCGCGUGAAGGAUGAAGUAUUUCGGUAUGUAAAUUUCGAAAGAAUAGGAAGAAUAAAUGACGGUACUAUUUAUAAGGUCCGGCUAACUACGUGCCAGCAGCCGCGGUAAUACGUAGGGACCAAGCGUUGUUCGGAUUUACUGGGCGUAAAGGGCGCGUAGGCGGCAUGACAAGUCACUUGUGAAAUCUCUGGGCUUAACCCAGAACGGCCAAGUGAUACUGUCGCGCUAGAGUGCAGAAGGGGCAAUCGGAAUUCUUGGUGUAGCGGUGAAAUGCGUAGAUAUCAAGAGGAACACCUGAGGUGAAGACGGGUUGCUGGGCUGACACUGACGCUGAGGCGCGAAAGCUAGGGUAGCAAACGGGAUUAGAUACCCCUGUAGUCCCUGAGCGGGCUGGCAAGGCGCAU
This 447-nucleotide ribosomal RNA is filed under the name uncultured bacterium. RNAcentral's name for it is "bacterial SSU rRNA". It matches the Rfam family "Bacterial small subunit ribosomal RNA", at positions 355 to 825 of the family's 1533-position model. The record is from RNAcentral.